GUAAUCUAAGGUAACUGUAAAACCAUAUCACUUCUAAGGAUGUGGUCAUUGGUUCGAAUCCAAUAGGGCGUGCCA
Molecule: transfer RNA, 75 nt
Filed under: Vibrio parahaemolyticus
Lineage: Bacteria; Pseudomonadati; Pseudomonadota; Gammaproteobacteria; Vibrionales; Vibrionaceae
Description: tRNA-Arg
Rfam family: tRNA
About the family: Transfer RNA (tRNA) molecules are approximately 80 nucleotides in length.
Source: RNAcentral